GGCAAUCGAAGGACGGCAUAGCCGACCUUCACCUCCCUGUUGGACUAGGCCGGGCCAUGUGCCCGGCUUUUUUU
Molecule: non-coding RNA, 74 nt
Filed under: Jannaschia seosinensis
Lineage: Bacteria; Pseudomonadati; Pseudomonadota; Alphaproteobacteria; Rhodobacterales; Roseobacteraceae
Description: Singlet oxygen resistance RNA X
Rfam family: Singlet oxygen resistance RNA X
About the family: SorX (RSs2461)like SorY is a singlet oxygen induced sRNA that counteracts oxidative stress by targeting mRNA for a transporter in Rhodobacter. It also has an impact on resistance against organic hydroperoxides.
Source: Rfam by way of RNAcentral